GACGAACGCUGGCGGCGUGCCUAAUACAUGCAAGUCGAACGCUGAAGAGAGGAGCUUGCUCUUCUUGGAUGAGUUGCGAACGGGUGAGUAACGCGUAGGUAACCUGCCUUGUAGCGGGGGAUAACUAUUGGAAACGAUAGCUAAUACCGCAUAACAAUGGAUGACACAUGUCAUUUAUUUGAAAGGGGCAAUUGCUCCACUACAAGAUGGACCUGCGUUGUAUUAGCUAGUAGGUGAGGUAAUGGCUCACCUAGGCGACGAUACAUAGCCGACCUGAGAGGGUGAUCGGCCACACUGGGACUGAGACACGGCCCAGACUCCUACGGGAGGCAGCAGUAGGGAAUCUUCGGCAAUGGGGGCAACCCUGACCGAGCAACGCCGCGUGAGUGAAGAAGGGUUUCGGAUCGUAAAGCCCUGUUGUAAGUCAAGAACGGGUGUGAGAGUGGAAAGUUCACACUGUGACGGUAGCUUACCAGAAAGGGACGGCUAACUACGUG
This 497-nucleotide ribosomal RNA is filed under the name uncultured bacterium. RNAcentral's name for it is "partial 16S ribosomal RNA". It matches the Rfam family "Bacterial small subunit ribosomal RNA", at positions 28 to 507 of the family's 1533-position model. The record is from RNAcentral.